UAGGGUAGUGAUACAGACAAACUUGCAUGAAUGAGCAGAUUCACCUGAAGUUAAGCCCAGAGAGAUAAAGCUGAACUUCUUGAUGUGAUCUUUUUGAGUGGUUUCCUUCGGAAUCUACUUUUGAACUUCUUCAAGAAACAAAGACUUUCUUCAAGACUGGAGGUGAUGUGGGCAUGGCCCUUGAACCUUGGAACUUGACGAAAAGCUGCAGGAUGAUCUGUGUUAUCAGCCAGGUCUGUACCACACAGGAGAAGAUGCUUCAUGAAAUACCAGGAUUCAAUUCCAGUUUUACUUUACCAUCAUCUGAGUGCAUGCCAAAUGUAUUGAUUUGAUCUGCUCAGAAAAUGAAACCACUUUGUUCCAGAUAUUACUCCAAUUUGCCUUGAUGAACGCUGUAUCCACGGCAGACAUUUAAAUUUCCAACACAUGUUCACAGUUUUCACUAAG
This is a non-coding RNA of Pogona vitticeps (central bearded dragon), 447 nucleotides long. The record is from RefSeq and is a predicted model, not a curated record. NCBI's taxonomy places the organism in Eukaryota, Metazoa, Chordata, Lepidosauria, Squamata, Agamidae.